CUAACGUGGACCCGUGAUCCGGGUUGCGGACAGUGUCUGGUGGGUAGUUUGACUGGGGCGGUCUCCUCCUAAAGAGUAACGGAGGAGCACGAAGGUUGGCUAAUCCUGGUCGGACAUCAGGAGGUUAGUGCAAUGGCAUAAGCCAGCUUGACUGCGAGCGUGACGGCGCGAGCAGGUGCGAAAGCAGGUCAUAGUGAUCCGGUGGUUCUGAAUGGAAGGGCCAUCGCUCAACGGAUAAAAGGUACUCCGGGGAUAACAGGCUGAUACCGCCCAAGAGUUCAUAUCGACGGCGGUGUUUGGCACCUCGAUGUCGGCUCAUCACAUCCUGGGGCUGAAGUAGGUCCCAAGGGUAUGGCUGUUCGCCAUUUAAAGUGGUACGCGAGCUGGGUUUAGAACGUCGUGAGACAGUUCGGUCCCUAUCUGCCGUGGGCGCUGGAGAACUGAGGGGGGCUGCUCCUAGUACGAGAGGACCGGAGUGGACGCAUCACUGGUGUUCGGGUUGUCAUGCCAAUGGCACUGCCCGGUAGCUAAAUGCGGAAGAGAUAAGUGCUGAAAGCAUCUAAGCACGAAACUUGCCCCGAGAUGAGUUCUCCCUGAGACUUUAGGUCUCCUGAAGGAACGUUGAAGACGACGACGUUGAUAGGCCGGGUGUGUAAGCGCAGCGAUGCGUUGAGCUAACCGGUACUAAUGAACCGUGAGGCUUAACCUU
Molecule: ribosomal RNA, 709 nt
Filed under: Salmonella enterica
Lineage: Bacteria; Pseudomonadati; Pseudomonadota; Gammaproteobacteria; Enterobacterales; Enterobacteriaceae
Description: partial 23S ribosomal RNA
Rfam family: Bacterial large subunit ribosomal RNA
Source: RNAcentral